UUUUCAUGCUUUUGGUGCACCCUUCCAUAAACCCUUGUGCUAUUUCAUCCUCUCACUUUAAAACCCUUGAUAAAUCUCAAUUCUACACUUUCUCUCACUAAUUGGACAUUUUAGAGAGAGAAAGAGAGAAUUACCCCAUUGAUUUGGAAGUAAUUGGAAGAGAAUUUGACUACAAAGGAGCCCUAGGGUAAGUGAUUAACUAAGCUCGAUUUGUAGCUGUAGAAAAUGGCUAGUAAUUGGGAUUUAUGAGCUGUUUAUUGUUGAGCAUGUUCAUUACUUUUAGUGAUUAAGAUAGUGAACAUAGAUGGCCAUUUAAUGUGGCAAUUGAAAGCUAGUUUAGAGAUAGCUUUUAGGGUUCAUAGUGUGUAAAUUGACCUAUUGCUUAUGCUAAUGUGAUCCUAGGUUCUAAGGAAGCCCCAUCAUCUCAUUUGAACAAUUAGGGGAAUUGGAGUCAUCUAAAGGCUCUACAAUCAAUUGGUGAGUAGACUGCCUUCAAAACUUGUUUUGGGAAAUAUAAUGUAUUUGCCACCCAUUUGAAUGAAUUAUCAAGUUUUUCAUAAAGACAAGUGCCUUGGGAACAAGCUUUUGCAAAAUGGUUUUAUAUUGUGAUAUGUGAUUGCUAUGGAUUCAUGCACUAUUGUAGUAUGAUGAUAUAUAAAUGUGUGUGUUGUGCAUGAUGAAUGAUAUUGUGUAUAAUGACUGUAACCGUGUGUGUGCACGAUGUGGGGGGAUGCACAUGCCGGUGAUAAUGGUGGCGUGAGAAAUGGAUGAUGAUAGUGCCCGUGUGCACGAUGUGGGGGGAUGUACACGAUGGCACUGAUUGUGCACGAUGUGGGGGGAUGCACAUGAUGGUGCCACCUAUAUGCACGAUGUGGGGGGAUGUACAUGAGCCAGGUGUGAUUAUGAUGAUGUUGAUGUUUAGCUAUGUAAUUAUGCACAUCUAGACUUAUGAAAUGAAAAUUAUGCGUGUGAUAUAUGAUUGACAUAUAUGAGAAAUUUGAUACAUUGCAUUUUAAGAAUUUUCAUGUGCUGUAUGUUUAUUUUAUUGGUUUAGCAGGAUGGCCUUUUUGUUGAGUGAGGGGAAACUUUUCUCUUGUUGCUCUGUUUUCGCUGUAGCAAAAUUCAUUCUCGCUGUAGCAAGAAACUCUCGGGUUUGAGAACCUUCACCAGAACUGGUUCUCGCUGCAGCGAGAUAGUCACUGUAGCUUCUUGCUGCAGCGAAAAGGAAUCUUGCUGCAGCAAAAAACUCUCUGUUUCAUUAGCGAAAUUUCGUUGCAGCGAGAAACCUUCUGUUUCUGGGUUACAAUUUCGUUGCAGCGAGAAAGAAUCUCGCUGCAGCGAAAAACCUUAUGUUUUGGUCUCCUAUCUUGUCAAAUUGCUACCCUAUCUUUCACUUCUUUACUACCAUAUCGGAGCACGGACUUCCAACAUUAAGGAUUAAAUGAGUUAAGUUCAAAAUGGGAAGGUUUAGGGAGAAACCCUUGGCCAGUUGAGAAACCCUCGUUCGGCUAAUAACUAAAUCCUAAUGUCGUUGCAACGAAAAUUCAUUCUCGCUGCAGCGUCGCUGCAGUGAGAAUGCCUUUCCGCUGCAGCGAAGAUUCAUUAUCGUAUUUGACUUGCUUGUGUAAUAUUAAAGUUUUCAUUCUUCAAAUGGUUCGUUAUGUAUGGUUCAUGAUUUUCAAAUGAUUAAUUAUUUAAGGGCUUGAUGAGGGGUUUUUAAUAAGAAUAGAAACAAAUUGCAUUGUUUUGAAAAAGAAUGCAUCAUGAUUUCAUUUAAGAUUCCUUAUGGUAUGCUUGUUCCCUUCCUUGUUCACUCACUGGGUUUAUACUCAUCAUUUUCAACUUCAUGUUUUUAGAUCACGAGGCAGCCGGUAACUAGGACGAGGUGUCCU
Molecule: long non-coding RNA, 1892 nt
Filed under: Theobroma cacao (cacao)
Lineage: Eukaryota; Viridiplantae; Streptophyta; Magnoliopsida; Malvales; Malvaceae
Description: long non-coding RNA (TCAC_LNC005346)
Source: RNAcentral